AAUUCUGCAGCGCUUCCCAAUUCGUCCAGCAACCAAACCCGCCUCUUCGCUUCCAAUCCCCCAAGUUGAACAGCAAUCGAAGCUCCAGAGAGACCACUCCAUCCAUCCAACCCCGUUUCGGCUGCUCCACUUGGGAGGAGAGGUGAUGCCCUCGAGGAGGAAGUACAACCGCCCCCGCAGCGAUGUGGAGGAGGAGGAGAUCGCCGCCAUCUCCUCCGAUCCGGACGAGUCGGGGUUGGAGGCGGAGCGCGGGGCGGGGGCGGACGACGAUGACGAGGAGUACGUGGAGGAGAGCAGCGACGCGGGUACCGGCGACGGAGCGGAGGAAGGAUGCAGCAGCGACAGCAGCGAGGGCUGUGACGGCGACCGCGGCGGUGGGCGGCCACUUCGGGCCGGGCGGCGCGGCGUGACGGCGCCCGAUAAGGAGAGGAAGUCGCAGAACGUGGAUGCUCUCGUCAGGGGGAAUCUGGUGGUAAGGAGGCAGCCACUUAUUCCACGUAUUCUUUCAGUUUCUGACGCGGCAGCAAUAGCUCGAAAACCAUUCAAGCCUCCGUGCAAAAAUGGAUAUAGUGAGAAUAAUGAGCAGCUUACUCAGCGCCUUUCAGCUCGUAAAAGAUUUGUCCCAUGGGGUUCAAUGCAGACAUUUGCAGUUAUACACAAUCUUCCACAGUCGCCUGCCAUUGCUAGUGAUAAUUCCUUGGAAAAGGAGGAACCUCUUCCACCUGGCAUAGAGUCAUUGAUUUUGUGGCAACGUGACGAAUGUGACAAGGAAAAUAGCAAUUUUGCUGCAAUCGAAGUUGAUCACCUGCUUGUGCGUUACCUCCGGCCCCAUCAAAGGGAAGGAGUUCAAUUUAUGUUUGAUUGUGUCUCUGGGUCGUUGAGUGGUGAUGGCAUUUCUGGUUGCAUUUUAGCUGAUGAUAUGGGAUUGGGGAAGACUUUACAGUCGAUAACUUUACUAUAUACCCUUCUUUGUCAAGGCUUUGAUGGUAAGCCAAUGGUUAAAAGGGCUGUCAUUGUAACCCCCACAAGCCUAGUGAGCAACUGGGAAUCGGAGAUAUUUAAGUGGUUAAAGGGAAAAGUGCAGCUGCUUGCCCUCUGUGAAAGCACUCGUGCUGAUGUUCUUUCCGGAAUAGAAAGUUUCUUAAAACCCUUGAGCCGUCUUCAGGUACUUAUCAUAUCUUAUGAGACCUUCCGUAUGCAUUCUUCAAAAUUUGAAAGACCGGGCAGCUGUGACCUUCUCAUAUGCGAUGAGGCCCAUAGGCUGAAAAAUGAUCAGACACUGACAAAUAAGGCCUUGGCUGCCCUUCCUUGUACACGACGCAUCCUCUUGUCGGGUACCCCAAUGCAGAAUGAUCUUGAAGAAUUCUUUUCAAUGGUAAAUUUCACAAAUCCAGGGGUUCUAGGGGACGCUUCAUAUUUCCGCCGAUAUUAUGAAGCACCUAUCAUUUGUGGAAGAGAGCCUACUGCAAGUGCAGAAGAAAAGAAGUUGGGAUCUGAGAGAUCUGCUGAGCUCAGUGCAAAAGUAAAUCAGUUUAUAUUGAGACGAACAAACGCUCUGUUAUCCAAUCACUUGCCUCCAAAGAUUGUUGAAGUUGUGUGCUGCAAGCUGACUCCUUUGCAGACCACACUGUACAACCACUUCAUACAUUCCAAAAAUGUUAAACGCUUGAUAUCUGAAGAAGCAAAGCAAUCCAAAAUUCUGGCAUAUAUUACUGCUCUUAAGAAAUUAUGCAACCAUCCAAAGCUGAUCUACGACACAGUAAAAAGUAACAGUUCAGAUGGCUCUGGUUUUGAUGAUUGUCUACGCUUUUUCCCACAGGAACUGUUUUCAGGAAGAUCUGGAUCAUGGACCGGUGGAGGAGGAAUGUGGGUAGAACUAUCUGGAAAAAUGCAUGUAUUGGCAAGAUUACUGGGGCACCUCCGUCAGAAAACUGAUGAUCGUAUUGUCCUUGUAUCAAAUUACACUCAGACAUUAGAUCUAUUUGUGCAAUUAUGUCGGGAAAGAAGAUACCCAUAUGUUAGGCUUGAUGGGGCAACAUCCAUUAAUAAAAGGCAAAAGCUGGUGAACCAAUUCAACGACCUAUCUAGAGAUGAGUUUGUCUUUCUACUUAGUAGCAAGGCAGGUGGUUGUGGGCUUAAUUUGGUAGGUGGAAAUCGUUUGGUUCUCUUUGACCCUGAUUGGAACCCUGCCAAUGAUAAGCAGGCUGCUGCUAGAGUAUGGAGAGAUGGACAAAAAAAGAGAGUCUACAUUUAUAGGUUCUUAAGCACAGGAACUAUUGAGGAGAAGGUAUUUCAGCGUCAGAUGUCAAAAGAAGGCCUCCAAAAAGUCAUUCAGCAGGAGCAAACAGACAACAAAAUGCAGGGGAGUUCUCUUUCAACCGAAGACCUGCGUGAUCUUUUUACUUUUCAUGAACAAGUCAGGUCUGAAAUACAUGAAAAUUUGAAGUGUAGCCGCUGUAACAAGGAUGCCAAUUCGCUGUUUGAUGGUAAUGGUUUUGAUUUAGCAGCCACUGAGCAUAAGGCUUCAAUAUCAGGAGCACAAGAUUAUAUUGAUAUAGGUGGAUUUGGAGAGAUAUCUGGAUGCUUGCAGAAAAUGAAUAGUUCACAUCAUCAGAUAGGAAGACCUUCUGAAGAAGAUUUAGGAAGUUGGGGGCAUCAUUCGGGUCCAUCAACCGUACCUGAUGUUAUACUCCAGUCUUCUGCUGGUGAAGAGGUUUCUUUUGUUUUCACCAAUCAGGUUGAUGGCAAACUUGUUCCGAUUGAAUCUAGGGUGCAAUCAGCAACCCAUCAACCAAAUGGAACAGCGGCUACUGGAGAAAAAGAAGUGGGGAAAAUCAUUUCUCCUAUCAAACCUGGGAGGCAAUCCUCACUUGGCAAGAAUUUGAAGAUGAUGGGAUUUAGUUUAAAGAAUUCAUCUUUGAGAUUUCCAUCUAAGUCCAGAACAACAACACCGAACUGCUUGCCAGGGUUGAAGAAAACUAAAAGGCUCCAUACUGCUUCUGAUAUGUCUGAUGAUGAUUUUGUUUGAGUGUCAGAAUUCAAAUGGCCGUAUAUAAUCAUCUAUUGCUUUGCUGCCUGUUGUAUAAAUAUUGUCAUCUGCUUUCUACAGUGUAAAUACUUCAUGCAAGUUGUUACUUGCAGAUCAUUAAGAGGAAGGGCCAGAAGCCUAAUCCUUGUGCAUAUUACCAUAAAAUGUUCUCAGCAGCUGGUCCCGAAUCCACGGCAAGAAAGCUACCGCCGGCCUACACUCCACGCCCCGCAGUUGGACCGUACGGCUUUCUUGUUCCUGGGUAUUCGGUUCAUGAACGAAGCCUCCAAUCCCAUCGUCCUGCAUGUUUUCCAACAGUCCCCCGGUAUGAUUUUGUGUGGCGUGGUGGAUCACCAUGUGUUCAAUGAGGACAGCGACUGUUGUCUACGCCUUGGAGCCUUAUCUCCCCUGCAAUUAUGUAUUGGUGCUUGUACUCCACUGGGAAUGCACAAAAGGUUGGCCUGGUGUAUACUACUCAAUCAUUAGAUGUUGCUCGAUAACACUAAUCAUCCUAUAGUACUACUAGGAGCAAACAAAAUCUAGACACGACGAUAAGAUCGAUUUCGACGCAGGCCCUCAAUAUUAUGAACGUAUGGAAUACCGAUUAUUCUCACUGUCCUAAAAAAUUGGCAAGUUGGUCCUGGUAGACGGUGGUAUACAUGAAACAAGGGUCCUCCAGAUUUUCUGUGCGAUUGGCUGGUCGGACUUUAUAAUCAGGUUACUUGUCAUCGUUUCUUUGUACGUUCUGGUGGUGACUGUUGGUAACUAGAAGCUAGUGCCUCCGUUGUUUUUGAUG
This is an RNA transcript of Phragmites australis (common reed), 3824 nucleotides long. It is a transcript of the gene named DNA repair and recombination protein RAD54, with no coding region annotated. The transcript has 23 exons. NCBI's taxonomy places the organism in Eukaryota, Viridiplantae, Streptophyta, Magnoliopsida, Poales, Poaceae. The record is from RefSeq and is a predicted model, not a curated record.